Long non-coding RNA from Siniperca chuatsi (mandarin fish), 4160 nucleotides. RefSeq lists it as uncharacterized. The transcript is spliced from 3 exons. The record is from RefSeq and is a predicted model, not a curated record. NCBI's taxonomy places the organism in Eukaryota, Metazoa, Chordata, Actinopteri, Centrarchiformes, Sinipercidae.
AGUUUAAUUAUCACAAUCAUAGACUCACAGUAGACUGUGCAUGAUUAAUUAGACGCAUUUACAAAAGAACAAACACAACUGACAUAACGCAUUUUUGUUCAAGUAAAAUUUAUUUCAUAAAAAAUACAGAUGAGGGUAAAAUCAAGGUACCAAAAAAAAAAAAAACCCCAACAAAAAUCAAGAUAAAAACACCAAAUGCAUGGGAGGUUAGGCAGUGCCUAACCUCCAUUAAAAUAUCCCACGUUUAUUUAGAUUUAAUUACACUUAUUUUAUCAACUAUCAGACCAGAUGUAGGCCUAAAGCUGCUUUCCAAACUGGGUUAUAGCUACUGAACACUGAGGUCACGUCCUCAGGAUUUUAUUUCCUGGGAAUUAGUUUUUUUUUUAGCAGCCAAGGGGAAGUUUACAUCCUAUAAUUAAAAACCAACACAUUAGAUGCAUUUUAUUUGCUGAUUCCAGUACUUUUCGACUAUAUUUAAAUUAUAUAUUCAAAUUAAAUAUUUAAAUUUGAGUACGUUCAGACAAACAAAAAUAAGUACAUAAAAAAACAAUUCGGUGUUUUUCUGCCACACAUUUAUUCCUGGCAGUGUAGAGAGGGCCUUGACACAGCUUUUGGACCUUCAUGCUGGGAUAAUAAUGUUCUCUGAAUAAAUAAAAUGUUAAAAAUCAAAAUCAAGAAAAUAUUUUUGUUAGAAACUUUAUUUUGGUCUAAGUUCCUGUUAAAUAUGCCAAUUGUAGGCUCUGGUAUAUCGCGUUCGGCGUCAUAUUUCACAUAUUUUCACAUAAGUAGGGCUGCAACUAAUGAUCAUUUUCUUAUACUGAUUAAUCUGCAGAUAAUUUUCUCUGUUAAUUAAUUUAUCAUUUAGGCCACAGAAUAUCAGAAAAUGCUCCUCUCAAUUUCCCAAAGCCCAGAUAGACAUAUUAAAAUGUCUUGUUUUGUUCGGCCAACAGCCCAAAACCCAAAGAUGUUCAGUUUAAUAUCAUAGAAGAUUAAGAAAACUAGCAAAUAUUCACAUUUUUUGCUUAAAAAAUACAUUACAAUUAAUUGGUUAUCAAAAUAGUUACUGACUAAUUUUGUGUCAAUCUACCAUUUCAUUAAUCGACUAAUUGUUUCAGCUUUUUUGACAUAUGAACAAGUGGCAAACAUUGAUGCUGCCUAAGGACCCAGUCAGUUCAAUAAAAUAAUAAUUUAAUUAAUACAUAUAUAUAGCCUACAGACUGUGCAUGAAAAGGGGAAAAAUAUCUGCUGCAGUAAACAAGACCAGAAGCAGACAGCUCAACAAGUCAACAAAACUUUAUUUUAUUUUUCGAGUGACUCAUCAUCUCAAUAGACGAUCUUAGAUGAGGACCAGCGUAGCUGCCGGCCGGGGCUGUCGCCGCUGCCUCCAGUCGCCCCGCUCGCUCCCGGUUGGCGCGUCACGGCGUUGCUGUGGAGACCCGUUUACCGCCGCGGGUGACGAGAGGCGCCGUGUUUACCUGUAAACUGCGACAGCGAGGCAGCCAGGGAGCCGCCAUCCGUCAUUUAUACUCGGGGAAGUAAGGAUAGGCCAAUCAACAGGUGUUUUGUCCCACAGGAAUGGAUGGUGGCCGGGCCCUUCAGCACUCACAUCAGCUCUGAGGAGGCAGCAGAAAGAGAGAGAGAGGGGAGUUGAAAGAAAGGAGCAGUAAUUACUCAAGAGGCUGAACUGGAGAGCAGCGAGCGCGCUGAGCUGAAGAGCGGAUGGGAGGAAAUGAAGUGGAGAGAAUAAGUGUGUGGAUCGAAAGUAGCCCUUUUCUCCUUUCUUUCUAUCCAAUCAGUCAUCCCACUGUUUUCUCCAUCCAUCCAUCCAUCCAUCCAUCCAUCCAUCCAUCCCUCUCCGUCCCCUCCUCUGCUCUGCUCAUUUACUUUGAGUGGCAGUGUGUGGGAAGUGAAGGCCAGCAGGGUCUUAGCUUUUCCUCUCUCUGCUCUGCUGCUGACCUUUUGCUCCACCUGAGGAAACGUCAAGACAAACACCUCCAGAGAGUGAAGUGUGAACAGUCCUGUUGCGUUUGAUCUACUCAGCAUGACAACAUCAGCAAGUAUGACAUGUUUGUGAAAUCAAAACGCACCAAAAGAAGAACGAAUACUCUUGAAGAUUUUGCUCUGCUAGGGUAAAACUUGAUUUACGGUCAUUCUCACAUUGUACACUCUGCUUCGCAACUGCAAAACUAAAAGCAAGAAAACACCAAGUUUACUGGAAAAAAGUCUAGUGAAUAAUAACAUAAUGCAAAUUAAACUGUCUCUCAUUUUGUAAUUUUAGUCUUCAGCAACCGCAGACACGUGUAGCUGUGUAGGUGGGGAGAUGCCACUGUAAGGCAAAUAACGUGAAUCAAAAGACAACUUCCCACCAAACCUUCAUUAAAAAACAGUAGUUUUUAACCAGAUAAAAGUGUUAGUCCUUUAAUGUGCUGGUGAACACUUUGAAUCCCUGAGAAUCAGAUGUACAUCCUCUUUACAUGCUCAUCGUACUUUGCUUUGUUGCUAAAAACUUCUGACUCUUUACAAAAUGUAUUUAAGAGACAGGAUAAAGUGACCAAUCAUCGAACGCUUCACUAAAACUAAAACAGCUCAAACUUUAGACUGGUAUCAUUGGACUCCCUGCAAAACCUGAUUCAGUACUUUGUAUAAUAGGAGGUCUGCCUAAUCAACAACAUACCAAGUGGCUGCUCAUAGCUUUUGUUGUUGCCAAAAAGUCGUUUUUUUUGCAUUAGUGCAUUCAAUUCAAGACUGGUUUAAAAUGGUUAAACUUGAAAGAGUCAUUUACUUUGAUAUCUAUUAAUACAGGCUCCCUGGAUAAUUCUAUUGCAAUAUGGUCCCCCUUCUUAGCAAACGAAAGGGGAAAACGUGUCUGUCUUAUGCAAAUAUUUUGUUUUUGUGUAUGCAUUUGUUAAGUUUUCUGACUCAGACUAAAACGAUCAUUAGAUAUGGGUCACUGUUUACUGUUAGCUUUUUGUUUGUAAAAAAGACAUUUAAAAAAAAUGUUGCAGAAAGCACUCCUGGCAAGACGGUUCGAUUCCAAAAUACAACAACAAAACACAGAUUUGGGAAAAAUGUCGCCCUAAAUACAACCUUAUGUUUCACAGCAAGACUUCAUCCUCAAAAGUGUGAUGAGUCUGGUUGAAAUAUUGCGCUAAAUAACUUUCAUCGAAUUUUUAAGCCAAUUUCUUCACCCACAACACAACAACUUUAAGCAGAGCUGUGUCUGACUGGCUUGACACUGUGUUGAGAAGCCAGCAGUGAAAAGCUGUAGUGGAAAUAAUAGUUUGUUGAUGAAACAGGAGGGACGCAGAGCGAGUGUCUGCAGUGACGGUGGCCUGGUUGGGGGAUGCAGACACCGGCUGCAUGUGAAAGCAAUGGCAACAAAAGCUCAGCAGGAGAUCUGACGGCUACAUAUGUGUGAAUCGGUGGGGUGAUUGGGACUAACUGAUCACCAGAGUCACUAUCACUUCAUUACUAAGGUGGUAAUGACCCUCAUCAUUAAACAGGAGCAAUCCAAUCAAUCACCACUGAUUGGUAAAUGAUGAAGAAAUACAAGAAUUGCAUGAUUAAUAAAUGAUGAUAUUUAAAAACGUCUGAUCAGUGGGAAUUUGGUGAUAAUGCUGUUGCACACUAGAAAUCAUUGGGUCAUUUACCCAGUGUGGGUCAAUAUAGCACUGACACAGUACUGGGCUAACUUCACCCAAUAUCAAUGGGUUGUUUUGACCCAGGUAAUUUUUUUUUUAACCUUGUUAGGGUAUUUACACAAACUAAGGUUUUUUUUACCCAUUUUAGACACUGGAGCUCAAGUUUCACCAUAAAACUUUAAAAAAUGCAUUGUUGGUUACAAAAUUCUGCGUAUAUGACAUUCAAAACUGCAAAGGAGACAUAUUAUUUACAAUCAGUAACAAAUAGCGACAUGUAAGUUUUAAAAGAGCUAGAGUAGAUUGUAACAUUUCACAACCAUACCAUAUUUUAGUUUGGGUAAAUAACCUAACAGUAAUAUAAAAAGAAUAACGCUAACUAAAAGUAGAGUUGUUGGGAUUGUUUUGAUACAGUGAUUUGUACUGUGUGGGGGGAAAAACAUUGAAAUGUACCUUUAUAUUGUGAAUAAAGCAUGAAAUUCAAAUCCUGCUGCAUAAUUGUAAAAUAAAUGGCUUACAAUG